RNAcentral lists this non-coding RNA (30 nucleotides) under Homo sapiens (human). Lineage: Eukaryota; Metazoa; Chordata; Mammalia; Primates; Hominidae. The record is from RNAcentral.
UGGAAAGACAAAAUAAAAAGGGCCGUGUGG